UCCCUGGUGGCUCAGUGGUAAAGAAUCUGCCUGUAAUGUAGGAGACUCAGGUUCAACCCCUGGGUUGGGAA
RNAcentral lists this transfer RNA (71 nucleotides) under Capra hircus (goat). It matches the Rfam family "tRNA". Rfam says of the family: Transfer RNA (tRNA) molecules are approximately 80 nucleotides in length. The record is from Rfam by way of RNAcentral. RNAcentral also lists the same sequence under 1 other name. Lineage: Eukaryota; Metazoa; Chordata; Mammalia; Artiodactyla; Bovidae.